RNAcentral lists this ribosomal RNA (459 nucleotides) under uncultured bacterium. Its description in RNAcentral is "partial 16S ribosomal RNA". It matches the Rfam family "Bacterial small subunit ribosomal RNA", at positions 28 to 506 of the family's 1533-position model. The record is from RNAcentral.
GACGAACGCUGGCGGCGUGCUUAACACAUGCAAGUCGAGCGGUAAGGCCUCUUCGGGGGUACACGAGCGGCGAACGGGUGAGUAACACGUGGGUGACCUGCCCUCAGCUCUGGGAUAAGCCUGGGAAACUGGGUCUAAUACCGGAUAUGACCUUUCCUCGCAUGGGGUUUGGUGGAAAGUUUUUUCGGCUGGGGAUGGGCCCGCGGCCUAUCAGCUUGUUGGUGGGGUGAUGGCCUACCAAGGCGACGACGGGAAGCCGGCCUGAGAGGGCGACCGGCCACCCUGGGACUGGGACCCGGCCCGGACUCCUACGGGAGGCGGGAGGGGGGAAUUUUGCGAAAGGGGGGGAGGCCUGACGGGGCGACGCCGGGGGGGGGAUGACGGCCUUGGGGUUGAAAACCUUUUUCGACCCCGAAGAAUUUGGAGGGUGGGGGUAAAAAAAGCACCGGCAAACUACGG